GACGAACGCUGGCGGCGUGCUUAACACAUGCAAGUCGAGCGGUAAGGCUCCUUCGGGAGUACACGUGCGGCGAACGGGUGAGUAACACGUGAGCAACCUGCCCUUCUCAUCGGAAUAAGCGUUGGAAACGACGUCUAAUGCCGAAUAUGACCUCCUUUCGCAUGAUCGGAGGUGGAAAGCUCCGGCGGAGAAGGAUGGGCUCGCGGCCUAUCAGCUUGUUGGUGGGGUAACGGCCCACCAAGGCGACGACGGGUAGCCGGCCUGAGAGGGUGACCGGCCACACUGGGACUGAGACACGGCCCAGACUCCUACGGGAGGCAGCAGUGGGGAAUAUUGGACAAUGGGCGAGAGCCUGAUCCAGCAACGCCGCGUGAGGGAUGACGGCCUUCGGGUUGUAAACCUCUUUCAGCAGGGACGAAGCGAAAGUGACGGUACCUGCAGAAGAAGGACCGGCCAACUACGUGCCAGCCGCCGCAGUAA
Molecule: ribosomal RNA, 480 nt
Filed under: uncultured bacterium
Lineage: Bacteria
Description: partial 16S ribosomal RNA
Rfam family: Bacterial small subunit ribosomal RNA
Source: RNAcentral